This 466-nucleotide ribosomal RNA is filed under the name uncultured bacterium. RNAcentral describes it as "partial 16S ribosomal RNA". It matches the Rfam family "Bacterial small subunit ribosomal RNA", at positions 28 to 507 of the family's 1533-position model. The record is from RNAcentral.
GAUGAACGCUGGCGGCGUGCUUAACACAUGCAAGUCGAACGAUGAAGCUCAGCUUGCUGGGUGGAUUAGUGGCGAACGGGUGAGUAACACGUGAGUAACCUGCCCUUAACUCUGGGAUAAGCCUGGGAAACUAGGUCUAUUACCGGAUAGGAGCGCCUACCGCAUGGUGGGUGUUGGAAAGAUUUAUCGGUUUUGGAUGGACUCGCGGCCUAUCAGCUUGUUGGUGAGGUAAUGGCUCACCAAGGCGACGACGGGUAGCCGGCCUGAGAGGGUGACCGGCCACACUGGGACUGAGACACGGCCCAGACUCCUACGGGAGGCAGCAGUGGGGAAUAUUGCACAAUGGGCGAAAGCCUGAUGCAGCGACGCCGCGUGAGGGAUGACGGCCUUCGGGUUGUAAACCUCUUUCAGUAGGGAAGAAGCGAAAGUGACGGUACCUGCAGAAGAAGCACCGGCUAACUACGUG